GAUGAACGCUGGCGGCGUGCCUAAUACAUGCAAGUCGAGCGAACAGACGAGGAGCUUGCUCCUCUGACGUUAGCGGCGGACGGGUGAGUAACACGUGGCUAACCUACCUAUAAGACUGGGAUAACUUCGGGAAACCGGAGCUAAUACCGGAUAAUAUAUUGAACCGCAUGGUUCAAUAGUGAAAGACGGUUUUGCUGUCCCUUAUAGAUGGAUCCGCGCCGCAUUAGCUAGUUGGUAAGGUAACGGCUUACCAAGGCAACGAUGCGUAGCCGACCUGAGAGGGUGAUCGGCCACACUGGAACUGAGACACGGUCCAGACUCCUACGGGAGGCAGCAGUAGGGAAUCUUCCGCAAUGGGCGAAAGCCUGACGGAGCAACGCCGCGUGAGUGAUGAAGGUCUUCGGAUCGUAAAGCUCUGUUAUUAGGGAAGAACAAAUGUGUAAGUAACUAUGCACGUCUUGACGGUACCUAAACAGAAAGCCACGGCUAACUACGUG
This 497-nucleotide ribosomal RNA is filed under the name uncultured bacterium. RNAcentral describes it as "partial 16S ribosomal RNA". It matches the Rfam family "Bacterial small subunit ribosomal RNA", at positions 28 to 507 of the family's 1533-position model. The record is from RNAcentral.